Molecule: ribosomal RNA, 872 nt
Filed under: Lactarius sp. (in: basidiomycete fungi)
Lineage: Eukaryota; Fungi; Basidiomycota; Agaricomycetes; Russulales; Russulaceae
Description: Lactarius sp. (in: Russulaceae) partial large subunit ribosomal RNA
Rfam family: Eukaryotic large subunit ribosomal RNA
Source: RNAcentral
UAGCAUAUCAAUAAGCGGAGGAAAAGAAACUAACAAGGAUUCCCCUAGUAACUGCGAGUGAAGCGGGAAAAGCUCAAAUUUAAAAUCUGGUGGUCUUUGGCCAUCCGAGUUGUAAUUUAGAGAAGUGUCUUCCGCACCAGACCGUGCACAAGUCUCCUGGAAUGGAGCGUCAUAGAGGGUGAGAAUCCCGUCUUUGGCAUGGAUGCCUGGUGCUUCUGUGAUGCACUCUCGAAGAGUCGAGUUGUUUGGGAAUGCAGCUCAAAAUGGGUGGUGAACUCCAUCUAAAGCUAAAUAUUGGCGAGAGACCGAUAGCGAACAAGUACCGUGAGGGAAAGAUGAAAAGCACUUUGGAAAGAGAGUGAAACAGUACGUGAAAUUGUUGAAAGGGAAACGCUUGAAGUCAGUCGCGUCGACUGAGACUCAGCCUUGCCUUGGCUUGGUGUACUUCUCGGCCUGACGGGUCAGCAUCAAUUUUGCCCCUCGGAUAAUGGCAAGGGAAAGGUGGCACCUUUACGGGUGUGUUAUAGUCUCCUGUCGCAUGUGAGGGGUGAGAUUGAGGAACUCAGCGUGCACCUUGGUGUCGGGGCUUUGGCCCACGUCACACGCUUAGGAUGCUGGCAUAAUGGCUUUAAACGACCCGUCUUGAAACACGGACCAAGGAGUCCAACAUGUCCGCGAGUGUUCGGGUGGAAAACCUGUGCGCGUAAUGAAAGUGAAAGUUGGGACCUCUGUCGUAGAGGGCACCGACGCCCGGACCAGACCUUCUGUGACGGAUCUGCGGUAGAGCGUGUAUGUUGGGACCCGAAAGAUGGUGAACUAUGCCUGAAUAGGGUGAAGCCAGAGGAAACUCUGGUGGAGGCUCGUAGCGAUCU